AUGGAAGCAGAUUUGGAGGCACUUGAACCUGAUCCUGGGAAGUGGAUUCCCAUCUCAAUGUAUGCUGUCAAUGACCAAGAUAGAGUAAGAAAAAGAUAUAUUGAGAUGAAGCCAUGUCAAUCAAAGAAUCAUAACUUUGAGUAUACAAAUAAAAGUGGAGUUGACCGCUGCUUUUGCCAUGCUUGGUUUAAAGAAUUUCCAUGGAUUGAGUAUAGUGUGACAAAAGAUAGUGCUUUCUGCUUUGUUUGCUAUUUGUUCAAGGAUAAGACAAAAUAUCCCGGUGGAGAUGCAUUUGUGAAGAAUGGAUUUAGGAACUGGAACAUGAAAUCGAGAUUGAAGAAACAUGAAGGUGAGGUUAGUAGUGCUCAUGCUGAAGCUCAAGAGAAGUAUGAUAUGUUCACUACACCACAAGCAUCAAUUAGGGAGUCUUUUGCUUCAAACACCUCACAAUAUAAGGCUUUGUAUAAGCAGCGUUUGACAUGGACACUCAAAUGUUUGAGAUUUCUAUUGCACCAAGGCUUGGCAUUUAGAGGACAUGAUGAAAGUGAAAACUCACUAAACAAAGGAAAUUUUCUUGAGCUUUUAAAUUGGCUAGCUGGAAAUUUUGAAGAGGUUGAUAGGGUUGUUCUAAAAAAUGCUCCACAGAACUGCAAGAUGACUCACCGUGAUAUACAACAUGAGUUAAUAAAAUGUUGUGCACAGGAGACUACAAAAUUAGUCAUUGAAGAACUUGAUGGUGGCCACUUUGCAAUACUUGCAGAUGAGUCUAGUGAUGUGUAUCAGAAUGAACAGUUGGCAGUUUGCUUGCGUUACGUUGAUAAGAAAGGAAGGGCUGUUGUAAGAUUUUUUGGUCUUGCUCAUGUUGAAGAUACUACCUCUUUGAUGCAUUGGAAUUGGAAGAAGUAG
This 906-nucleotide ribosomal RNA is filed under the name Triticum aestivum (bread wheat). RNAcentral's name for it is "partial small subunit ribosomal RNA". Lineage: Eukaryota; Viridiplantae; Streptophyta; Magnoliopsida; Poales; Poaceae. The record is from RNAcentral.